CUUGGUUGAUCUUGCCAAUAGUCAUAUUCUUGUCUCAAAGAUUAAGCCAUGCAUGUGUAUGUAUGAAUUAAUUUAAAUUGUGAAAUUGUGAAUGGGUCAUUAAAUCAGUUAUAGUUUUUUUGAUGGUAUCUACUACUUAGAUAACCAUAGUAAUUCUAUAGCUGAAGCAUAUAACAAACCCUUGCUUCUAGAAGGGAUGCAUUUAUUAGAUAAAAGGUCGAUGCAACUUUGCCCUUUUCUCUAAUGAUUCAUUAUAACUAGAUGGAUCACAUGGCCUUUGUGCCAGCAAUGCAUCAUUCAAAAUUUUGCCUUAUCAACUUUUGAUGGUAGGAUAGUGGCCUACUAUGGUGGUGAUCGAUGACAGAGAAUUAAGGUUUGAUUCCAGAAAAAGAACCUGAGAAAAGGCUAACACAUCCAAGAAAGGCUGCAAGUAAAAAAUUACCCAAUCUUGACACGGGGAGGUUAUGAUAAUAAAUAACAAUACGAGGCUUUAUGAGUCUAGUAAUUGAAAUGAAUACAAUCUAAAUCCUUUAAUGAGGAUACUUUGAAGGGCAAGUCUGAUGCUAGCAGCCACAAUAAUUUUAGCUUUACUAGCAUAUAUUUAAGUUGUUGCAGUUAAAAAAUUCAUAGUUGGAACUAAGGUUGGGUCAUCUAGUCUACCUCACGGUGAGCACCAGUCUACUUGUCUUUAUAACCAACGAUGUGCUUCAAACCUUAACUAGCCAGGUCAUUCCUCUGGCAAUGCUACUUUGAAGAAAUUAAAAUGCUCGAAUUAGGCCUAUGUUUGUAUACAUUAGCAUAGGAUAACAACAUAGGAUUUUGGUGCUAUUGUGUAGGCCUUUGGGAUUAGAGUAAUGAUUAACAAGGAUAGUUAAGGGCUUUCAUAUUUUAUAGUUAGAGGUGAAAUUCUUGGAUUUACGAAAGAUGAACAACUACGAAAACAUUUGCCAAAGAUGUUUUCAUUUAUCAAGAAUGAAAGUUGAGGGCUCGAAGUUGAUCAAAUACCAUCCUAGUCUUAACUAUAAAUGAUGCCAACCAAGGAUCAACGAAUGUUACUUUUAGGACUCCGUCGACACUUUAUGAAAAAUCAAAGUUUUCAGAUUCUAGGGAGAGUAUGGUUGCAAGGCUGAAAUUUAAAAGAAUUGAUGGAAGGGCACCACCAAGAGUGGAGCUUGUAGUUUAAUUUGACUCAACACAAGGAAACUUAUUAGGUCUAGACAUAGUAAAGAUUGACAUACUGAGAGCUCUUUCUUGAUUCUAUAGGUGGUGGUGCAUGGCCGUUUUUAGUUAGUAGAGUGAUUUGUCUGCUUAAUUCUAUUAACAAAUGAGACCUUAGCCUAUUAACUAGCUACAAGGAGAUGAUCCUUCAUGGCUAGUUUCUUAAAGGGACUAUGGCUACUUAGACCAAGGAAGUUUGAGGUAAUACCAGGUCUAUGAUGCCUUUAGAUGUUUUGGGCUAAACGUGUGCUACAUUGAUAUAUUCAACGAGUUUAUAGCUUUAGCUGACAGGCCUAAGUAAUCUUUGAAAUUUCAUCAUGAUAGGCAUAGAUUAUUGCAAUUGUUAUCUUCAACGAGGAAUUUCUAGUAAGUGUGAGUCAUUAGCUUACGUUGACUACAUCUCUGCCCUUUGUACAUAUUGCAUGUCGCUCCUACCAAUUGAAUGGUUCGAUGAAGUGUUCAGAUUGCAGUAACAUCGACGGUUCAUUACCUAUGACAUCAUGAAAAGUCCACUGAACCUUAUAAUUUAGAGAAAGGUAACAAGGUUUCCAUAGGUGAACUUACAGAAG
RNAcentral lists this ribosomal RNA (1787 nucleotides) under Durio zibethinus. Its description in RNAcentral is "SSU rRNA". It matches the Rfam family "Eukaryotic small subunit ribosomal RNA". The record is from RNAcentral. Lineage: Eukaryota; Viridiplantae; Streptophyta; Magnoliopsida; Malvales; Malvaceae.